Molecule: ribosomal RNA, 505 nt
Filed under: uncultured bacterium
Lineage: Bacteria
Description: partial 16S ribosomal RNA
Rfam family: Bacterial small subunit ribosomal RNA
Source: RNAcentral
GACGAACGCUGGCGGCGUGCCUAAUACAUGCAAGUAGAACGCACAGUUUAUACCGUAGCUUGCUACACCAUAGACUGUGAGUUGCGAACGGGUGAGUAACGCGUAGGUAACCUGCCUGGUAGCGGGGGAUAACUAUUGGAAACGAUAGCUAAUACCGCAUAAUAUUAAUUAUUGCAUGAUAAUUAAUUGAAAGGUGCAAUUGCACCACUACCAGAUGGACCUGCGUUGUAUUAGCUAGUAGGUGAGGUAACGGCGCACCUAGGCGACGAUACAUAGACGAACGGAGAGGGUGGGCGGCCACACUGGGAGGGUGACACGGCCCAGACGGCUACGGGAGGCAGCAGUAGGGAAUCGGCGGCAAGGGGCGAAAGUCUGAGCGAGCAAGGCCGCGUGAUUGAAGAAGGGCUUCGGAUCGUAAAGCUCGGUUGUCAGAGAAGAACGGGUGUGAGAGUGGAAAGUUCACAGUGUGACGGUAACGGACCAGAAAGGGGCGGCUAACUACGUG